AUCACUUCUUGGCCUUUUGGCUAAGAUCAAGUGUAUUAUUAUUAUUAUUAUUAUUAUUAUUAUUGGGGGGAUAAAAAAAAAUAAAAAAUUGUCUGGUAGCACCUUAUAGACCAACUAAGUUUAUACCAGAACAAACUUAGUUGGUCUAUAAGAU
Molecule: small nuclear RNA, 154 nt
Filed under: Podarcis muralis (Common wall lizard)
Lineage: Eukaryota; Metazoa; Chordata; Lepidosauria; Squamata; Lacertidae
Description: U2 spliceosomal RNA (ENSPMRG00000019781.1)
Rfam family: U2 spliceosomal RNA
About the family: U2 is a small nuclear RNA (snRNA) component of the spliceosome (involved in pre-mRNA splicing). Complementary binding between U2 snRNA (in an area lying towards the 5' end but 3' to hairpin I) and the branchpoint sequence (BPS) of the intron results the bulging out of an unpaired adenosine, on the BPS, which initiates a nucleophilic attack at the intronic 5' splice site, thus starting the first of two transesterification reactions that mediate splicing.
Source: RNAcentral